UUGGCUGAAGUCAUGCCAGUGGAUGGAUUUAGUGGAGGGGCCGACCCAGCUCAAGAUGGAAAGACAGCCAGAGACGCACUCGGGCGGGGGGGUUCCUUGGGGAAGGCUGAGGUCAGAGGGAUGAUGGGGUCACAGCAGCUCAGAGGGGAGGGAAGCCCUGAAAGACAGUGGCUACAAGUGGGCCCUGCAGAGAUACAAAAUGAGAUUUAAGAAGAGGCCUUGGAUUUGGCAUCAGGGGUUCAAAGGGGAGCUUUUAGGGAGCAGUGUGUGGGAGGGGAGGGGCUACUUCUAGGAGCACGAAGUUUGAGUUCUGUGUUUUUCCAAAGGCUACUUCCUUGGCCCUUUUUCUUUAUAGACUAGACCACCAGAGGAGGAUGUGUGGGAUUGUAGGCAAACCCACCUGUGGCAUCACUGAAAAUAAAUUUGAUCACACCUAAGAGGUUAGGAGAUGGUGCCAUUCCCACCUUAGAGCGCUAUAUAAAUACUUUGAGUGUAUGUAACAUUAGUAUCCUUCCUUGAAGCCACAAGCUAGUUUUCUUAGUUUUAAAAUCCUGUUGUAUGAAUGGCAUUUGUAUAUUGAAACACUUUU
This 589-nucleotide small RNA is filed under the name Pongo abelii (Sumatran orangutan). RNAcentral's name for it is "retained intron". Lineage: Eukaryota; Metazoa; Chordata; Mammalia; Primates; Hominidae. The record is from RNAcentral.